UACGUAGGGGGCAAGCGUUGUCCGGAGUUAUUGGGCGUAAAGGGCUCGUAGGCGGUUUGUCGCGUCGGGAGUGAAAACCCAGGGCUUAACCCUGGGCCGGCUUCCGAUACGGGCAGACUAGAGGUAUGCAGGGGAGAACGGAAUUCCUGGUGUAGCGGUGAAAUGCGCAGAUAUCGGGAGGAACACCAGUGGCGAAGGCGGUUGCCUGGAGCUUUGCUGACGCUGAUGCGCGAAAGCGUGGGGAGCGAUCCGG
RNAcentral lists this ribosomal RNA (253 nucleotides) under uncultured bacterium. Its description in RNAcentral is "partial 16S ribosomal RNA". It matches the Rfam family "Bacterial small subunit ribosomal RNA", at positions 524 to 776 of the family's 1533-position model. The record is from RNAcentral.